RNAcentral lists this long non-coding RNA (1627 nucleotides) under Glycine max (soybean). RNAcentral describes it as "long non-coding RNA (GMAX_LNC003586)". Lineage: Eukaryota; Viridiplantae; Streptophyta; Magnoliopsida; Fabales; Fabaceae. The record is from RNAcentral.
CGAGCAGUUCACGGUGGCGGUUGUUGCAACAAUCCUGGAAAUUUACAGCAGCAAGCAAACAGUCUUGUUUAGAUUGUUUGUGGGUGGUGCCACCAUAUAUUUGAUUUUGAUAUUGAUUUCGGUAUGGUAGAAAAGUAUACUAGUGCUGCUGGCUUCUUCUCAUGUUACUAAACAUUGUUACUCUUAGCAUAUGAACCAUGCUGUUGUAAUGAAAAUACUUACUGUGUUGCAUACAUUGCUCAUCUCGCAUCACAUCGCCACAAACCUACUUGCUGCAGUACCAACUUCAGUGAGAAUUUUUACAGUGAAAUUUAUAUAUCUCCUAUUAAUAGAGAAGUAGUUAGGGCCUUUGGAUUCUUAGUAGAACCCCAAAGUAUACUCACAACUUGUUUGAGCAAAAGACUUAAUCAAGUGUUCUAGUUAACCAAGUAAAAUCAUAAUCUAAGACUCACGAAAAUCUGUUUCAAUUAACGAAAAUAUGUCCAACUAAUUGAAAGGUCAAAACCACUAGUAAUUUCAAUUCUCGACAAUUACUCUUGUUUUUUUUUUUUUUUCCAUCAAAGCUUAAAAAAACAUUAAUGAUAAAAAGGAUAAAAAGGAGAAGUGUUUUUUGUAAGCUUUGAUGGAAAAAAAAGAAAAAGAAACAAGAGUAAUUGUCAAGAACUAAGCUGGGUGGAACUAUUCUUUUGAUGUUGUAGUUCCUCUCAAAGAGCGUUCAACCUUCUUAGUCCAUGUUCAGUAGUUUAUAUCAAACAUCCAACAAUUUCCCAAAUUAAAUUAUUUGAAUAAAAACAAUUUAAUAAUAAUAAAUUAAUUUCUCUACAUAUUAUCAAUGAACACUCCUUAUCUAAUGAAUUUAACAAUGUGUAAAUUAUUAAAUUCUUUAAAUUAAAAUGAUAAAUUUAACACGUUAAUGAAUAAAAAGAAUAGUGUGAAACUAUUUCUUCUUUUUACAAAUAAAAUACAUCAAAUUUUUAAACUCUGUAAACCAAGCACCCUGAAAAGGGUAAAAAGGCUGCACCAAGAAGCCUUGUAUAGCACUAUAAGCGCGAGGGAUAAUGGUUGAUGGGGAAAUAGGAAACAACAAGUGGAGCUCCUCUUGAUUUUUGUUUCUCUGAAGAAGGAGAUUUCAGUUGAGAUGAUCCUUCGGCAUAGUCAGAGACUUGACAUGAUGUGGAUGGAGUAAAGCAAUUCAAGAAAUAUGACAUCAAAGCCAUAUAUAUCAUUAGUAAGUGUUUUGGUACCUUCCCUUAGUUUUCUUGGUGAGUUUCACGUAAAAUAUGUUUGGGUGGAGGCUAGCUAUCAAUUGUAGUUCCUCUUUCUAAGGAAGCAAGUAGUGAAAUUUGAAAUUAUUGAAGAGGAAUUCUUCUGUUUAUGAAUGUGCAAAGCUGAAAUGAAUUAACGUCUUGCUGUGUGAGUGAUAUAAUUGAGGAAAUUUGAAAUAUUUAUAGCACGAUAUGAUAUAAGACAGAGGAAGAUACCAUGUUAUUUCAUUUGCUUAGGGAGCAAGGAGAACAUAUAUGGGACCACAAAGCACUUUAUUUGAAAAAUUUUGGAGUCUUUAGUGGCUGCAUAUGACUUGAUCCUCACUCAAUAUCUUGGGGUUUUUAGAAUUAAAGUAGAGUAU